Molecule: ribosomal RNA, 500 nt
Filed under: uncultured bacterium
Lineage: Bacteria
Description: partial 16S ribosomal RNA
Rfam family: Bacterial small subunit ribosomal RNA
Source: RNAcentral
AUUGAACGCUGGCGGCAUGCCUUACACAUGCAAGUCGGACGGCAGCGCGGGCUUCGGCCUGGCGGCGAGUGGCGAACGGGUGAGUAAUACAUCGGAACGUGCCCUGGAGUGGGGGAUAGCCCGGCGAAAGCCGGAUUAAUACCGCAUACGCUCUAUGGAGGAAAGCGGGGGACCUUCAGGCCUCGCGCUCAAGGGGCGGCCGGUGGCGGAUUAGGUAGUUGGUGGGGUAAAGGCCUACCAAGCCGACGAUCCGUAGCUGGUCUGAGAGGACGACCAGCCACACUGGGACUGAGACACGGCCCAGACUCCUACGGGAGGCAGCAGUGGGGAAUUUUGGACAAUGGGGGCAACCCUGAUCCAGCAAUGCCGCGUGUGUGAAGAAGGCCUUCGGGUUGUAAAGCACUUUUGUCCGGGAAGAAAGCGCCUGCCUUAAUACGGUGGGCGGAUGACGGUACCGGAAGAAUAAGCACCGGCUAACUACGUGCCAGCAGCCGCAGUAA